This 5055-nucleotide long non-coding RNA is filed under the name Homo sapiens (human). RNAcentral describes it as "HSALNT0349328". The record is from RNAcentral. Lineage: Eukaryota; Metazoa; Chordata; Mammalia; Primates; Hominidae.
CCAAAAUUUGCUCAUUUAUUUUCUUUACAUUAAGAUCUCUGGUUCUUACCAGUGGGUCAUUUCAAACUCUAUCUCUGCUUCCCCCAGCUAGGGAUAGAAAGCCACUAUUACAGACAGGGGCUGCAUCCUUCAGGUGCUUUCUGCAGAAAUGAGCUCAAUAACCACUGAAGACAGAUGUUAAUGAUGUCUGUUUUAAGGCAAAUUAUUUGGAGACGAGGGUAACCAAGUGGAGCUGAAUGACACUGGAUGGUAAUAACUUAAUUUGCCUCAGUGACAGUUCAUCAGGUCCUUUCACUUCCAUUUUCUCAUCUGACCAUCAUGACCUUAUGGUGUAAGUAAAAAUGAUUACUUCCCUUUUUUCUUUUCUUCAGAGGGGAAAUCUGGGUUUGGAGCAGCUAUACCAUAUAUCUAAGGUCAAACACCUAAGAGGAACUUUUAACUUGGGUCAUUUAAGUGCAAGUGCCUUGUUUUCGCCAUUUUGCCAAGGACAUGGGGCUCAAGUUUGGGUGUGCACCUGGCUUGCAGCAGAACUGGCUGGGAUGGCUUCAUAACUUCCCUUCUAACAAUAUAACAAUAUGCUUCUGUAAAUUUUCACACUGAAUUGGACAAGAAUCAGAAUAUCCUGUUUUGAACAUCUGCACAGAUUGACAAACAAAAAUGGAACAUCAAGACUGACUGGAAAUGGUGAUGUGAAAUUCAUUAAAUGCUCUUGCAAUUGCCAGAGGUGCCAAGACUGAGGCUCAGAGAAAUGAAAUAACAUGCCAAAGGUCACAGUGUCUAGUGGAGCUGGGGCCAAAUUCAGGUUCGCGUGAUUAAUAACACACAGGAAAAACCCUCAACUUCUUUCAUUCGCCUGUUGAGAUAAAGGGAAAGAGAGUCCCCAUCCAGGCCUGCAGGAGAGGGAGAACUGGUGGAUGCAAAUGAAAAAGCAGAGGCAUUCCUCAGCUCUUUUAUCCCAGAGAUUAUAGUGCUGGAGUUGGAAGAAGAUGGGAGAAACAUAUGAGGAGAGAAGGAAGUCGAGCUCAUACCAUGAUGAAGAAGAUAACUCCUGAAGAUUGGGAAGGGCACUGGCUGGCUCUCAAAGAUGGACAAAUGGCUUUACGACGCUUAAGGGGAUGCUCUGUGGAGUCUGCUUGGGUGCAAAUCACCACCAUGACACACUACCCAUGGUACCGUUUUUCAGCCCCAGCCAUCACUUCAUCCUUUGCUCUGUAGCUUUCUUCAUUUGUUGGGAGAGAGGCUAUUCUUUUACUUGAACUUAGUGGGAGCUCAUUUUGCAAAGAUACAUGCUUCACCAUCCCCUGAAAGAUUUAUAUAGAAGGACACUGUGGCAACAUGUGACCUUUUGAAACUGCUCCCUUGGAAGGAAUUCUAAUGUCCUCCUGUCUAUGUUACCUGCUGUGUACCUACCACUGGGGAAAGAUGCUGAAAAUUUAAUGAAUUGCAGAAAAGCUGUGCAAGCUUCUCUUUUGGAAGAACCUUGGAGAAGAGAGAGGCUGACAGAAAGAAAACUUUCAAAGAAAUUACACUGCCCUCAAGGGUGGCAUCUACAGAGGACAGUGACAGGGCCUUGGAGACGUAUGAUUUCUUCUGCUGCUCAUUUACCUAGGUCUGUUUUCACUCUGGUGACUGGCCACAAUCAUGGGAAAAGUGAAGAAAUCUGAUAACUAUCAAGGUACAAAUUGCUAGAGAAAGAAAAUCGGGACUCUUACAACUAAGGGCUAAUUGAUGUGGAGAUGGAAGGUUUGUGGUGCUAUGUUUUGCAUGUGCCUCUGUGUGUGUUUGUGUGUGUAUAUAUAGGAGGGUAGGAGGUAGAAGAAUUCACAGUACAACCUAAUAAUCUGGGCCAUGGACCCAGCCAAAGAAGCGGGGACAGGGGUUGAAUGGAGAAGCACAUGGGACCAGAUGUACAAUGUAUCUGGAAAACAGACACAUAUACCGCAUCCAGGGAAUAACUGCAAACAGUCAAAUAACAUAUUUUGUAUUCAACCACUGACACAGAAAUUCAUGCACAAUGUAUUUUAUUUUUUAGUGGAAGAGAGAGAACUAUGCCACCCCUUUAAGGUAUGAUGCCAUUCUUAGAAAUAAAUAUUCGUAUAGAGAAAACUAUCUGAAAGGAUAGAUGUCAAAAUGUUUACAUAAGAGAUUAUUUCCGGAUGUAAGAAUUAGAGGGGAAUUUUAUAUUUUUUAUUUUUUGUGUAUGUACAGUUUCUAAUUUUCCUACAUUUAGUAUGUAAAAAGGAAAAAAAAGUAGCACAUUUUUAGAAAAGAAUUCUAAAUUUCUUUUAUAAAUAUCACUAAGGAAACAGAUUUGAUUUGGGCAAAGGGAAGAAGAGAUUAGAAUAGGGGUUGGCAAACUACGACCCUCUGAGCUAAAUCUGGCCUGCCACCUGUUUUUGUAAAUAAAGUUUCAUUGGAAUACAACCACUUCUUUCAUUUAUAUACUACAAACAUGGAGUUUAGCAGUUGUGACAAAGACCCUACGACCUACAAAGCCAAAUGGCUCUCCUAUCUGGUCCUUUACAAAAAAAGUUUGCCUAAACCCAGUUUAGAAGAAUCCUCCUAAUAUGGUCUUACCUAUUUUACCUUACUAGUUGUGUGAGCUUAGGGAAGUCAUAACUUUCACACCUCAGGUUCCUCAUGUGUAAUGAGAUGGAUAACACAUCUUAGACAUUUUAUGAAAAUUAAAUGAUUUAAUACAUAAAUGGUGCUAAACACUGUGUUUGGCAUAUAGUAGAUGCUCAAUAAAUAUUAUGCUCCUACUUAUUUUCUACUUCCUUUAAAUAAAAUGCAUUAUUCUGAUUUCAUGGCAAAUCUAAUGAAACUGCCAUUUUUGCUAGUCAAAAUUGUUCAAUAUUGGCAAUUUUAUAUGGCUCAAUGUAAUCAUACUUUAGCCAUUUACUAUUCUCAUUGCUCUUGUUUAAGUUGUAAUUGCUGAGCUUGUAUCUAUCAAUGUCACCAAGGUAGUUUUAGGGUUAGCUAAAUUGCCACAAACGGCUGGAAACCAAAAUCUAUUAAUAGCAUUGUUCUAUCCAAAUGUGGACACUUUGGGUGUAUGAAACAAAACACUGUAUUUGUAUUUCACUUUGUUACUUGUGUAACACAGGGAAAUCUGCAUUCAAUGCACCUAUGGUGUGACAGAUUAGGGCCUCUUUCCUGCUGCCCUAAAUAGAAGCUUUUUAGAUAAAGGAUAUUUGCUUCCACCCUACAAAACAGCACCUGACUUAAAUUUCAGCAGACUCAGUGAGCUUUCACAGCACUGCGACAAUCACUCUUGGCACUGAGCAAAGUUCUGACACAGUCUACCACAACAUCCUGGGAAGAACUGCUGAAGGGAACAUGGGGCUCAGGAUGCUACAAAAUUUGGAGACUGUCAUUCAAUCGCACUUGAAGAUGAUAUUCUGGGGCUUAGUGCAGAUCCAAAAUAGGAGUUCUUUAAAAAAGUAAAAUGGGGUUUCUCCAAGAACAAGACAGGAAGACCGACUGGAACAUCAAUGGAAUGUAAGUGUAAGAAGUUGCAGAUAGGGAAGUAUAGGAUGAGCUUCAUGAAAAGGAGGCAAAAUCAGGAAACUGAAAGACUAAUCAAAGUAUUCUUAUCAACAGAAAUGAAGAAAGGCUUUUAGUUCAGUGCUAAGACUAUCAAAGGAAGAACAAACCCAAUUUAAUCCAAUCAACACUUAUUAAAUGCCUACUUUAUGCCAGGCACUGGGUUAACACAGCUAGAGAUAGUAAGAUAAAUCAGACACAAUUUCUACCUUAGAGAAGUUUCUGGGCUGGUGGGAGGGAGAUAAACAUGGAACCAAAUAACUUUAAUAUCGUGAUAAAUGUUAUAAUACUAACAAUAAUAGCUGUCAUUUAUUAAUUGUGUAAAAUGUAAAGCAAACACAGAAUGGAAAAAUUAGUUUUGCUUGGAGAGGUCCAGAGAGGGUAGGGAGGAGGGGAAUAAUUACAGUCAGCACCUGAAAAUGACCAAAAGUUCACGAAGCUAAUACUGAGGCAAGAAUGAGAGUGAUGUGCUGUGGUUUCAGGACAGGAUGGAUUGUUGUAAUGGUUAAAAUGAAGCUGACGAAAAACCUCAUAAGCCAAACUUAGGAAUUGUGACGUUAUUCAGUAGGCAUUAAUUCUCAAUAAGCAGGAAGCAGUUUGGUUCAGUCCGGUUUAAAAAAGACAAGAGAAUACUUUCCUAGAGAGCCAUGAGGCAGGAUCAUAGGAAGAAGAGAGACUAAAUGGUUCUGUCUGUGAAAAUUUAGACCAGAAAAGUGGCAGUAAGAAGAGAGAAGAGGAGAUGGAUACAGGAUGCAGCAUGUCUUCAAACUGAAAUGCAAAAGUGGAGGGAGACAUUCUGAAGACCCAGAGGAGAAACAGAUGAAAAGAACUGUGGUGUGGGAGGAGCAAGGGACGGUAGGCAAGGAGAAGACCACAGUUAGGUCACUGGCCUUGGGAAAGGGAACAUCUUUUUUUCCUCGACCAGCCUGGGCAACACGGUGAAAACCUGCCUCUACAAAUAAAAAUACAAAAAAAUUUGGCCAAGUGUGGUAGUGUGCGCCUGUAGUCCCAGGUACUCGGGAGGCUGUGUGUGGAGGCUCUGGGGCUUGUGCCCAGGGUAUCGAGGCUGCAGUGAGCCGUGAUGUCACAUGUCACGUCUCAUUAAAGGGUAUUGAAUGAUACCCAAGAGAGGAAAAAUCUGAUUUCCUUAGCCUGGCCCUCAAAGCAUUCUGUAAUGUAGCUCACAACCUAUUCUUCUGAUCCAUUUUCACCUCCUUUAUUCUUCCCUCCUGAGGGUAUAGAUACCCAAAUGUCUUCGGGACUCAGGCGGGUAACACACAAGGGGGUGAAGUGGCAGGGUCUGAGGCCCUGAAGUGGUGAGUCCAUGGCUCACAGGACGUUAUAUUUUCUUUUUAAAUUCACUGAGAGGCAAACAACAUAUAUACACACAGAGAUUUUAGAAGUUUAACGUUUAUCUUGAGAGGCUUUACCUUCUAAAAUUCUACACAGCAUCAAUCCAGCCUUCUCUAAGCAGACUUCCCAGUCAACCAGGCUUAUAGACAAGAGUUC